This is a non-coding RNA of Anopheles christyi, 73 nucleotides long. NCBI's taxonomy places the organism in Eukaryota, Metazoa, Arthropoda, Insecta, Diptera, Culicidae. The record is from Rfam.
GCCCGGAUAGCUCAGUCGGUAGAGCGUUGGACUUUUAAUCCAACGGUCUGGGGUUCAAGUCCCCAUUCGGGCG